AUGCAAAUAAUAUUGCCUCAUAUGAAUAUACAGCUUACUAAGAAUGUUCACAUACUUUAUCUAUGACACCUGAAUCUAGAAAGGGAAGGUUCAGAUGUUUGCUGCUGGGGAGGAAAAUGGACAGCCUGGGAGUGAAUGUGGAGGGUUAGGUCGUCCUGGGAGGUCAGAUGUCACGGUGCUGGGUCUAUGUACUCUGAAGCCAUCUGAACACUGGGUCCGCCACUUACCAGCUGUGAUG
This is a long non-coding RNA of Mustela erminea (ermine), 238 nucleotides long. RefSeq lists it as uncharacterized. NCBI's taxonomy places the organism in Eukaryota, Metazoa, Chordata, Mammalia, Carnivora, Mustelidae. The transcript has 3 exons. The record is from RefSeq and is a predicted model, not a curated record.